Molecule: non-coding RNA, 161 nt
Organism: Oryza meridionalis
Lineage: Eukaryota; Viridiplantae; Streptophyta; Magnoliopsida; Poales; Poaceae
Source: Rfam
AUACUUACCUGGACGGGGUCGAUGGGUGAUCAAUAAGGCCCAUGGCCUGGGCUAAUGGCCCACAUUGCACUUGGUGGAUGCGUUGGCCUGCCAUCUCCCCAAGUGGGAGAGUGGACGUCAUAAUUUGUGGUAGAGGGGGUACGCGUUCGCGCGGCCCCUUC